GUGAUCACUUCAGCAGCACAGGUACCAAAAUUGGAAUGACACUGAGACUAUUUUUAGCGUGGCUCCUGUGCAAAGAUGAUACGAAAAUUCGUGAGCAUUCCACAUUUCU
Molecule: small nuclear RNA, 109 nt
Organism: Vicugna pacos (alpaca)
Lineage: Eukaryota; Metazoa; Chordata; Mammalia; Artiodactyla; Camelidae
Source: Ensembl